ACAAGCGUGGAGCAUGUGGUUUAAUUCGACGAUACGCGAAGAACCUUACCUGGCCUUGACAUACUAAAAAGCUUUAAGAGAUUAGAGUGUGCUAGCUUGCUAGAAUUUAGAUACAGGUGCUGCACGGCUGUCGUCAGCUCGUGUCGUGAGAUGUUGGGUUAAGUCCCGCAACGAGCGCAACCUCGUGUUUAGUUGCUAACAGUUCGGCUGAGAACUCUAAACAGACUGCCUACGCAAGUAGGAGGAAGGUGAGGACGACGUCAAGUCAUCAUGGCCCUUACGGCCAGGGCUACACACGUGCUACAAUGGGGUAUACAAAGAGCAGCGAUACGGUGACGUGGAGCAAAUCUAGAAAAUGCCUCUCAGUUCGGAUUGUAGUCUGCAACUCGACUACAUGAAGUUGGAAUCGCUAGUAAUCGUAGAUCAGCAAUGCUACGGUGAAUACGUUCCCGGGUCUU
Molecule: ribosomal RNA, 458 nt
Filed under: uncultured Arcobacter sp.
Lineage: Bacteria; Pseudomonadati; Campylobacterota; Epsilonproteobacteria; Campylobacterales; Arcobacteraceae
Description: bacterial SSU rRNA
Rfam family: Bacterial small subunit ribosomal RNA
Source: RNAcentral